AGGUUAAGUUAAUAAGGGCGCAUGGUGGAUGCCUUGGCACUAGAAGGCGAUGAAGGACGUGACUAACUACGAUAUGCCUCGGUUAGCUGUAAGUAAGCUUACCCGGGGGUUUCCGAAUGGGGCAACCCGAUCUUAAUGAUCAUCAUCUUUUUGAAUUCAUAGAUUAGAUGAAGCAAACGCUGUGAACUGAAACAUCUAAGUAGCAGUAGGAAAGUAAAGAAAUUUCGAUUCCGUCAGUAGCGGCGAGCGAACGCGGAAGAGCCCAAACCUGGAUGCUUGCAUCCAGGGGUUGUAGGACUGAUGUUGAGUUACAAAGGUAUAAGAUAGCAGAAACAGUUGGGAAGCUGUUCCAAAGAGGGUGACAGGCCCGUAUGCGAAAUCUUGUACUCUCUAAUCAGGAUCCUGAGUACGGCCCAGCACGUGAAAUUGGGUCGGAAUCUGGGAGGACCAUCUCCCAAGGCUAAAUACUAACUAGUGACCGAUAGCGAACAAGUACCGUGAGGGAAAGGUGAAAAGAACCCCGGAAGGGGAGUGAAAUAGUUCUUGAAACCGUGUGCUUACAAGAAGUUCGAGGCCGUUAAUGGCUGAGAGCGUGCUUUUUGUAGAAUGAACCGGAGAGUUACGAUUGCGUGCAAGGUUAAGGUGCAAAGACUGGAGCCGUAGCGAAAGCGAGUCUUAAUAGGGCGAAUCAGUACGUAGUUGUAGACCCGAAACCGAGUGACCUAUCCAUGGUCAGGUUGAAGGUGGGGUAAUACCUACUGGAGGACCGAACAAGUGGGUGUUAAAAAACCCUUUGAUGAACUGUGGAUAGCGGUGAAAUUCCAAUCGAACUCGGAGAUAGCUGGUUCUAUCCGAAAUACAUUUAGGUGUAGCCUUGCAAUUAGCUUACUGGAGGUAGAGCACUAUUUGGUCUAGGGGCCCUUCAAGGGUUACCAAAAUCAGAUAAACUCCGAAUGCCAGCUAAGUAUGUGCAGGAGUCAGACGGUGAGUGAUAAGAUCCAUCGUCAAAAGGGGAACAGCCCAGAUCACCAGUUAAGGUCCCUAAAUAUAUGCUAAGUGGAAAACG
This 1066-nucleotide ribosomal RNA is filed under the name Oenococcus oeni. Its description in RNAcentral is "bacterial LSU rRNA". It matches the Rfam family "Bacterial large subunit ribosomal RNA", at positions 1 to 1072 of the family's 2925-position model. Lineage: Bacteria; Bacillati; Bacillota; Bacilli; Lactobacillales; Lactobacillaceae. The record is from RNAcentral.